Molecule: RNA transcript, 5106 nt
Organism: Orcinus orca (killer whale)
Lineage: Eukaryota; Metazoa; Chordata; Mammalia; Artiodactyla; Delphinidae
Gene: ZHX3
Gene name: zinc fingers and homeoboxes 3
Exons: 5
Source: RefSeq, a predicted model, not a curated record
CCGUCCUGCCCCGCGCUCUAGCGUUCCCCGAAGGAAAGUCCCAGUUGCCCGCCACCAGCCCCACCUCCAGGAGCGGCGGAGAAGCAGAGACUUUCCAAUCGAGCCGACCUAAACCUUCCUGGCUUUGCUCCUAGCUCGCUGUGUGACUUUGUUGAUGCCCUGGUGGAGCGGAAGCGGGGUCAAUACCUCCACUGGCCAGCAGAGGACAGGCGAUGACCAGCCUUCUCGCCCAGUUGCGCAUCCUCUCCGCCGGCAGGCGCCACGAGGGCAACAGGACGGGAUACAACUGCAGAAGCAACAAGUGAACCUUUAAAGAUGCAUAUGGGGCUGCACAAAGAGAAGAGAGGAACUGGAGAAACCAAGGAAGUAAGGAAAAAGUAUGUUUCCUGGGUUUAAUAGGGAAAACUUGCUUUCUGCAAAGAACUGAAAAAGCCGCCCUUGGAAGCUGUUUCUUUGGGCCUCAUGGAGCAGCUGGAACCUGCGCUGUGAGGCCCCCGACAGGACGAACUGUCGCCCACUGACCCCCCAGCGUGGCUGUCACCAUGGCCAGCAAGAGGAAGUCCACCACCCCGUGCAUGAUCCCCGUGAAGACCGUGGUGCUGCAGGACACCGGCGCCGAGGCCCUGCCCGAGGAGCCCGUGCCCGAGGGGCCCCCGCAGGAGCCGCCCCCAGAAGCUCCCACCGCCAGCGGCGAGGCCACCCAGGGCACCAGCGGUCCCGACAGUGCCGCACUGGCCAACGGGCACCGGAGCACCUUGGACGGCUACACAUAUGCCUGUAAAUGCUGUGACUUCAGAUCCCAGGACAUAACCCGGUUUGUGGGACACCUGAGCUCAGAGCACACAGACUUUAGCAAAGACCCGAACUUUGUAUGCACUGAAUGCAGUUUUCUGGCAAAAACUCCCGAGGGGCUUUCUCUGCACAAUGCCAAGUGUCACUCGGGGGAAGCCAGCUUUGUGUGGAAUGUGGCCAAGCCAGACAAUCAUGUCGUCGUGGAGCAGAGUGUCCCCGAGAGCACCAGCCCUCCCGACCCAUCGGGGGAGCCAAACAUGGAAGGGACAGAUGGACAGGCGGAAAUCAUCAUCACCAAAACUCCAAUCAUGAAGAUAAUGAAAGGCAAAGCCGAAGCCAAAAAAAUUCACACGCUCAAGGAGAACGUCCCCAGUCAGCCUGCUGGGGAGGCCUUACCGACCCCUUCAGCCGGGGACACGGAGGUGAAAGAGGGGGACCACGCCUUUGUCAACGGGGCAGCCCCGGUCAGCCAGGCCUCUACCAACUCCCCAAAACCCCCUCACUCGGCCAACGGGCCCCUGCUGGGGACGGUGCCGGUGCUGCCCGCGGGCAUCGCCCAGUUCCUCUCCCUGCAGCAGCCGCCCCCGCACGCCCAGCACCACGCCCACCAGCCCCUGCCCACGGCCAAGUCCCUCCCCAAAGUGAUGAUCCCGCUGAGCAGCAUCCCCACGUACAACGCGGCCAUGGACUCCAACAGCUUUCUGAAGAACUCCUUCCACAAGUUCCCCUACCCAACCAAAGCCGAGCUCUGCUAUUUGACCGUGGUCACCAAGUACCCGGAAGAGCAGCUCAAGAUCUGGUUCACCGCCCAGAGGCUGAAGCAAGGUAUCAGCUGGUCCCCGGAGGAGAUUGAGGACGCCCGGAAGAAGAUGUUCAACACGGUCAUCCAGUCCGUCCCCCAGCCCACAAUCACUGUCCUCAACACCCCGCUGGUUGCCAGUGGCGGCAACGUCCAACAUCUCAUCCAGCCCACUCUGCCUGGCCACGUGGUGGGCCAGCCAGAGGGCACAGCCGGGGGACUUCUGGUCACUCAGCCACUGAUGGCCAAUGGGUUGCAGGCACCCAGCUCAUCUCUCCCCCUGGCAGUCACAUCUGUCCCCAAGCUGCCCGCUGUCGCGCCCAUUAACACCGUGUGUUCAAAUACAACGUCCGCCGUGAAGGUGGUGAAUGCCGCCCAGUCCCUCCUCACGGCGUGUCCCAGCAUCACCUCCCAAGCCUUCCUGGAUGCCAGCAUCUACAAAAACAAGAAAUCUCAUGAACAGCUGUCAGCUCUGAAAGGGAGCUUCUGUCGGAACCAGUUCCCAGGACAGAGCGAAGUUGAGCAUCUGACCAAAGUGACCGGCCUCAGCACCCGUGAGGUGCGGAAGUGGUUCAGUGACCGUAGGUACCACUGCCGGAACCUGAAGGGCUCCAGGGCCGGGCUGGCCGGGGAGCAUGGCGCCCUCCUCGUCGACUCUGUGCCCGAGGUGCCCUUCUCCCUGGCGUCCAAGGCCCCAGAGGUGACCUGCCUCCUGACAGCGGCCACCCCAGCUACCCCCCCUUCUGCCAAGCGACAGUCCUGGCACCAGACCCCCGACUUCACACCAACCAAAUACAAGGAGCGGGCCCCCGAGCAGCUCAGGGCCCUGGAGAACAGUUUUGCCCAAAACCCCCUUCCUCUCGACGAGGAACUGGACCGCCUGAGGACCGAGACCAAAAUGACCCGCAGGGAGAUUGAUGGCUGGUUUUCAGAGAGACGGAAAAAAGUGAGUGCCGAGGAGGCCAAGAAGGCUGAGGAGGGCGCCUCUCAGGGGGAGGAGGAGGCCGCCGAGGAUGAGGGGGAGGAGGGCUCUGCCAGGGACCCGAGGGUCCCAGGGGAAGAUGGCUCCCCAGAAACGCCCGGCAGCCACGUGCUGGCAGAACGCAAAGUCAGCCCCAUCAAAAUCAACCUCAAGAACCUGCGAGUCACGGAGGCCAACGGCAAGGGCGAGCUCCCGGGGCUGGGCGCCUGUGAGCCCGAGGACGACGUGCCCAGCAAGCCAGCGGAGCAGCUGCCGGGCAAGGUGAGCUACAGGAAGACGGCCCAGCAGCGGCACCUGCUGCGGCAGCUCUUCCUGCAGACGCAGUGGCCCAGCAACCAGGACUACGACUCCAUCAUGGCCCAGACGGGCCUGCCGCGGCCCGAGGUGGUGCGCUGGUUUGGGGACAGCAGGUACGCCCUGAAGAAUGGCCAGCUCAAGUGGUACGAAGACUACAGACGGGGCAGCUUCCCCCCCGGGCUGCUGGUCAUCAGCCCCAGCAACCGGGAGCUGCUGCAAGACUAUUACGUGACCCACAAGAUGCUGUACGAGCAGGACCUGCAGAGCCUCUGCGACAAAACCCAGAUGAGCGCCCAGCAGGUCAAGCAGUGGUUUGCCGAGAGGAUGGGUGAGGAGACCCGGGCCGUGGCCGACACGGGUGGUGAGGGCCAGGGCCCCAGCGACCCUGCAGCAGUUCACAAAGGGAUGGGCGACACCUAUUCAGAGGUGUCCGAAAACAGUGAGUCAUGGGAACCCGGUGCCCCUGAGGCCAGCUCAGAGCCCGUUGACACGCCGAGUCCCCAGGCUGGACCUCAGCUGGGUAAGGAGCCUGUGGGGCUGUGCCGUCCUCUGUGGGUCUGGGGGGCACCUGUGGCAGGCACCGAAUCCAGUGCCGGGGCAUCUGCUGUUUCUAAGGCUGUCUGGCAGCAGGACCGUGUUGUCUGGCUGCUUCGGGGGGCACCUGGCAGCAGAAUCCAUUGGAGCAUCAUCAUAUGAUAAAGGCUUGACACUUGGUUUUUUUGUUUCGUGUUUGUUAAACCUGCACAGGGGAAGGAGUGUAGUGAACCUCCAAGGGCCCACCCUUUUCUAGUCAUUUCUUAGCCAAAGGAGAAUAGGUCAGAAUGUCAUCUGAGCCAGAUAGAACCACGACCGCUGGGUAAGAGAGAGAAUAGGACUUACGAGGAAAUUCAACCCCAGUUGGUGAACAAAAGCAGAGGGAGCCUUUAAUUGACCUUAGAUACACAAAGUGCUUUUUUUUCUAAAUGAUGAAAAAUCCUGUAAUUUGCAUUGCAGUUAUUCUUCCUGAUAUAGAGGUAGUGGAAAAUCUUCUUCCCUCUUAGACAUAACAUGGAAUCGAAUGCUUGAAUUUUGUUCCUCAUUUUCUCUGGAUCAGGACAGUAGUACUUGAAAGAAAGCUUUAGAAGAUUAUUUUACUGAAGACAGUUUGAAGCCUCAGACAAAUCACGUUAUUGGGUGUUGAUUUUCUUGGGUCUUGAUCUCUGAGUUCCUGGCCUCUCCCUUCCCUCCCACCCUCCUCUUGGGUGGCCUUGUCACAGGUUGGCCAGGAGCGAGGUAGCUGAGCUCUUCACGGGAAGCUGUGGAAACCAAGGAAGUAUCUGGAUUCCCAGAUUCCCUGAUUUGGGACCUUUAGAAGGUGGUUCCAGGGCCGGCGUUUCUGGACUCGACCUUGUUUCCUCCAAGCCCCUAAACUGACUGAACCGGAACCGACGGCUGUGAAGGCCUGGCCGGGGCGGCCGCCCUCCACAUGGAAGGGCCUGACCCCCCUCUGCUGCCCCGGGCCGCCGCCGUACCCGGCCCGCCAUGCUCACACAGGUCUCCACGCGGCCAAGCCUGCCGCCGUCCGCACCUGGCCCGCCACCCCAGCGAGCAGGGAGGAGCGUCUGGCAGUUCUUCCGCCCACAAUGUAGGACCUUUCUUUUGCCUUCCAGUGGAUAAAUAGUUCAGAUUUCAUAUUCAUAGACACAGAAUCAAGUUUUUAACAUAUAAAUCUGCCUAUACACAUUUAAUAAAACAUCAGAUUAUAAACACUUUCAUUACAUAGAAACUUUGGUUAGCAAAGCAGUACGUGGUCUUUUAUAUCAUCUCUGGAAAUGCCCUGUGUCUGUUCUCUGGAGAUCGCUGGGCUGCGUGUUCCCGCACCUUCCAUGGUCAGGCCGGGGUUAUCACACGCUCAGAACCACACCUGCAACCGCUGGGGCCCCCUUUGCGCUCCUUCGGGAAGGUGGUACCUUUGAAGAGACCUCUGCUCCUUAAGCGGUGACCAGCAACAUUGCAUAGCAGGUUUGCCUUGCCUUACGGGAUGAUAGUGCAGAACAUGCUGUUACCCGCAGUUCAGAAAACUGACCGGUUAUGUGAUUAGUGUUUGAUGCUUACCACUCUCGUAAGUUGUUACAGUAAUUCUGCUUUUUCAUGGGAGUUUGAAUCAUGGACCAUAACUCUUCAGUGAUCAGAUCAACUAAAGAAACAUUUGUUGUUAAGCCUAAUGUACUGCCCUAUGUGCCGCCUUUUUUUUUUU